RNAcentral lists this ribosomal RNA (427 nucleotides) under uncultured bacterium. RNAcentral's name for it is "partial 16S ribosomal RNA". It matches the Rfam family "Bacterial small subunit ribosomal RNA", at positions 355 to 774 of the family's 1533-position model. The record is from RNAcentral.
UGGGGAAUAUUGCACAAUGGGCGCAAGCCUGAUGCAGCCAUGCCGCGUGUAUGAAGAAGGCCUUCGGGUUGUAAAGUACUUUCAGCGGGGAGGAAGGGAGUAAAGUUAAUACCUUUGCUCAUUGACGUUACCCGCAGAAGAAGCACCGGCUAACUCCGUGCCAGCAGCCGCGGUAAUACGGAGGGUGCAAGCGUUAAUCGGAAUUACUGGGCGUAAAGCGCACGCAGGCUGUUUGUUAAGUCAGAUGUGAAAUCCCCGGGCUCAACCUGGGAACUGCAUCUGAUACUGGCAAGCUUGAGUCUCGUAGAGGGGGGUAGAAUUCCAGGUGUAGCGGUGAAAUGCGUAGAGAUCUGGAGGAAUACCGGUGGCGAAGGCGGCCCCCUGGACGAAGACUGACGCUCAGGUGCGAAAGCGUGGGGAGCAAACA